UAUCACACGUGUGUGAACAUCACAUUAUUGACCUCGUAAUUACAACUACACCCGUCACGUCAUUUCACGGACUAUAUUAUUAGGGGAAUGACUGAAGGGUUUCACACCGGGUUGGUCCAUUUACCCUCCGGUACACUGGAAUGCGACAACCUACAAUCCACGUUAGACGAUCCACAGUUGGUAAACACUCUUAUCUCGACCGAGGUGAAACAAGGGUUUCUGUUGGGGCCAUUCUUUUCCCCACCCUUCACAUCUUGGAGAACCAAUCCCAUUGGGGUGGUCACAGGGAAGACCUCACUCAAACCCAGACUGAUAAUUGAUUUAUGUGCACCACAUUCCUCCACUGUCCCCAGCCUUAACUCUCUAAUACCUUGUAGUGAAGAAUUUUCACUACACUACGCCACUAUCGACCAGGCCAUAGGGGCCAUUCUUCAAGCUGGCACAGG
Molecule: non-coding RNA, 446 nt
Organism: Pelobates cultripes (western spadefoot toad)
Lineage: Eukaryota; Metazoa; Chordata; Amphibia; Anura; Pelobatidae
Source: the annotation of a GenBank genome assembly